This 468-nucleotide ribosomal RNA is filed under the name uncultured bacterium. RNAcentral describes it as "partial 16S ribosomal RNA". It matches the Rfam family "Bacterial small subunit ribosomal RNA", at positions 28 to 507 of the family's 1533-position model. The record is from RNAcentral.
GACGAACGCUGGCGGCGUGCUUAACACAUGCAAGUCGAACGGAAAGGCCCUGCUUGUGUGGGGUGCUCGAGUGGCGAACGGGUGAGUAACACGUGAGUAACCUGCCCUUGACUUUGGGAUAACUUCAGGAAACGGGGGCUAAUACCGGAUAGGAGCUCCUGCUGCAGGGUGGGGGUUGGAAAGUUUCGGCGGGUGGGGAUGGACGCGCGGCUUAUCAGCUUGUUGGUGGGGGAGGGGCUGACCAAGGCUUUGACGGGUAGCCGGCCUGAGAGGGUGACCGGCCACCUUGGUCCUGCGAUACGGCGCAGUCUCCUACGUUGGACAGUAGUCGCGAGUCUUGCACAAUCGGCCCACGCCUGAUACGGCAGCCCCGCGUGCGUAAUGCCCUCCUUUUGGUUGUGAACCGCUUUCGCCUAUGACGCCGCGUGACUGACGGUACUGGGUGAAUAAGCACCGGCUAACUUCGUG